CGGCUUUAAAAACUUAACAACAAAAACGUGUGAGAAAUACUCUCUUCAGUUAGACUAUAUGUACCUACACAAAAUGUAUUUUGGUUUCUAAACAAUGGUUUGUAUUACCAUAAAAUGAAGCAAAUGCAUUGGUAUGCAACACAAUUAUUAUGAGUACAGAAUAAAAUGAAAACUCAGAGAGUGUUGAAAAUAAUAGGAUUGGUACUUUAUAUGCAACAUGAAAAUAUAAUUAUCAUGUAAAACAUGAACUUAAAAAUAAUAAAAAAAAAGUUGUUGUUUAAUGAGUCUUUUUAGGUGUAUUGGGACAUUUGCUGUUUGUCAACAUAAAAAGACAGCCAUGGGUAAAAUCAAAGGGCUUGCAUAAAUAAAAUGCGUAUGUUAGUCGACUUUUUAAAUUCAAUAAACGGUCAUACAUCUAACAAGUUCGUGCUUGUGUUUCAAUAUCUAUAAUUCAGUCAUGUUUUCUGUAUCAAUGGUUUCCACGAAUCUUGUGCUUUGGGUAUCAUUUACAGUUUAAAUUUCCUGAGACAAAGUCAUUGCAUAAAUAAAAAAGUCCGCAGUUUUCUAAUCACAGAAAUUUGUGACAUACCGCGAUUUGCAGUCUUGGAAACAGCGUUUUUCUCGUACCCCCAAUAUUUUAUGUCGUUCUCGUUAUCAAUCUUUACUCUCGGAAGAUGAUGUUAUCAUCAUAGAGCAGCGGAAAGGUCGACUUAAUCAUUUUGGUUAGAUUUACUCGAGGUACAAAACCGAAAUCUGCAACAGGAAGCAUUGAAUGAAACGAAAUUUAAACGGUUACCGGUAACGGGAAUGAACAAAAUCCAGAAAUCGUAAAUUUUAUAAAAUAAAAAAAUUCGGGGCGGGGCGAUUUCAGAGGGGCGGGCGGGGAUGAAAAUCUAUCAAUUAAUUUUAAUUGGCCUUA
Molecule: long non-coding RNA, 919 nt
Filed under: Mytilus galloprovincialis (Mediterranean mussel)
Lineage: Eukaryota; Metazoa; Mollusca; Bivalvia; Mytilida; Mytilidae
Source: RNAcentral